CCUACGGGUGGCAGCAGUCGAGAAUCAUUCACAAUGGGGGAAACCCUGAUGGUGCGACGCCGCGUGGGGGAAUGAAGGUCUUCGGAUUGUAAACCCCUGUCAUGUGGGAGCAAAUUAAAAAGAUAGUACCACAAGAGGAAGAGACGGCUAACUCUGUGCCAGCAGCCGCGGUAAUACAGCGGUCUCAAGCGUUGUUCGGAAUCACUGGGCGUAAGGCGUGCGUAGGCUGUUUCGUAAGUCUUGUGUGAAAGGCGCGGGCUCAACCCGCGGACGGCACAUGAUACUGCGAGACUAGAGUAAUGGAGGGGGAACCGGAAUUCGCGGUGGAGCAGUGAAAUGCGUAGAUAUCGAGAGGAACACUCGUGGCGAAGGCGGGUUCCUGGACAUUAACUGACGCUGAGGCACGAAGGCCAGGGGAGCGAAAGGGAUUAGAUACCCUGGUAGUC
This 446-nucleotide ribosomal RNA is filed under the name uncultured bacterium. RNAcentral describes it as "partial 16S ribosomal RNA". It matches the Rfam family "Bacterial small subunit ribosomal RNA", at positions 338 to 795 of the family's 1533-position model. The record is from RNAcentral.